RNAcentral lists this ribosomal RNA (254 nucleotides) under uncultured bacterium. Its description in RNAcentral is "partial 16S ribosomal RNA". It matches the Rfam family "Bacterial small subunit ribosomal RNA", at positions 524 to 777 of the family's 1533-position model. The record is from RNAcentral.
UACAGAGGGUGCAAGCGUUGUUCGGAAUUAUUGGGCGUAAAGCGCGUGUAGGCGGCUUUGCAAGUCGGGUGUGAAAGCCCUCGGCUCAACCGAGGAAGUGCGCCCGAAACUGCAGAGCUUGAGUACCGGAGAGGAUGGCGGAAUUCCCCAAGUAGCGGUGGAAUGCGUAGAGAUCCGGAAGAACACCGGUGGCGAAGGCGGCCUGCUGGGCAGUAGCUGACGCUGAUGCGCGACAGCGUGAGGAGCAAACAGGG